AAAACUGUUUAACUUGAGUGCAGGAGAGGAAAGUGGAAUUCCUAGUGUAGCGGUGAAAUGCGUAGAUAUUAGGAGGAAUACCAGUGGCGAAGGCGACUUUCUGGACUGCAACUGACACUGAGGCACGAAAGCGUGGGGAGCAAACAGGAUUAGAUACCCUGGUAGUCCACGCCGUAAACGAUGAGUACUAGGUGUCGGGGGAAGACCUCGGUGCCGAAGUUAACACAUUAAGUACUCCGCCUGGGGAGUACGCCCGCAAGAGUAAAACUCAAAGGAAUUGACGGGGACCCGCACAAGCAGCGGAGCAUGUGGUUUAAUUCGAAGCAACGCGAAGAACCUUACCUAAACUCGACAUACCAAUGACAGCCUUUUAAUCGAGGACUUUUACCUUCGGGUAGACAAUGGAUACAGGUGGUGCAUGGUUGUCGUCAGCUCGUGUCGUGAGAUGUUGGGUUAAGUCCCGCAACGAGCGCAACCCUUGUCGAUAGUUACCAGCAGUAAGAUGGGGACUCUAUCGAGACAGCUAAGGACAACUUAGAGGAAGGUGGGGAUGACGUCAAAUCAUCAUGCCCCUUAUGUUUAGGGCUACACACGUGCUACAAUGGUCAUUACAGAGAGAAGCGAAACUGCGAAGUCAAGCAAACCUCAAAAAGAUGAUCCAAGUUCGGAUUGUAGGCUGAAACUCGCCUACAUGAAGUUGGAGUUGCUAGUAAUCGCGAAUCAGAAUGUCGCGGUGAAUGCGUUCCCGGGUCUUGUACACACCGCCCGUCACACCAUGGGAGUUUGGGGGGCCCAAAGUCAGCGACUCAACCGUAAGGAGAGAGCUGCCCAAGGCAAAACAAUUGCUGGGUGAAGUCGUAACAAGGUAGCCG
Molecule: ribosomal RNA, 872 nt
Filed under: uncultured bacterium
Lineage: Bacteria
Description: bacterial SSU rRNA
Rfam family: Bacterial small subunit ribosomal RNA
Source: RNAcentral